Thalassophryne amazonica is the source of this 159-nucleotide long non-coding RNA. RefSeq lists it as uncharacterized. NCBI's taxonomy places the organism in Eukaryota, Metazoa, Chordata, Actinopteri, Batrachoidiformes, Batrachoididae. The transcript is spliced from 3 exons. The record is from RefSeq and is a predicted model, not a curated record.
ACUGCCCGCAGCUUCUGACUGACUGUACCAGGUCAUCGCUGCAAGAUGGGCUUCUGGGAAGGCUGCCAGACUACUUUUGAGGUUUCCCGGAUGUAAACAAGAAGACCACGAAGCCUCACGCAUGCAUCAGUGAGAGAUUAAGUAAUCAUGAUUUCCUUG